Tupaia belangeri (northern tree shrew) is the source of this 99-nucleotide small nuclear RNA. The record is from Ensembl. Lineage: Eukaryota; Metazoa; Chordata; Mammalia; Scandentia; Tupaiidae.
CUGCUCACUUUGGUAGCACAUAUGCUAAAACUAGAAUGAUACAGAAAAGAUUACAUUGGCAAGGAUGGUAAACAAAUUUGUGAAGCAUUCCAUAUUAUU